ACAAGAAGCUGACAUGAGCCCUUGUUUCCAGUAUGUGAGUCAUCAUUGCCACCAAUGGUCUGGGUCAUUGGCUGUGCACACACAUCCACAGACAGUACAACAACAGCCUCUAGUCCCUUGUUGCUGACCUUUGGGAAGCUGGGCAUGUAAGGCCAUACAUGAUCUACAGUGUACUUGUAGAGGUCAGAGGACAACUUGCAGGAGUCAUUUCUCUGCUUCCACAAUGUGGGUCCUGGGGAUCCAACUGAAGUCAUCAGAAGCAGUACUCGGGCUUCUAUUACACUUUAAUACGAUCUACAUAUAAGGUGAGUCACACAGUAUACCUUUUUGUCCAACAUAUUUACUUGUAAACUUUCAUUGCAAUGAGUCAUUGAACUUGUUCAUGGCCUCUAG
Long non-coding RNA from Microtus oregoni (creeping vole), 393 nucleotides. RefSeq lists it as uncharacterized. Lineage: Eukaryota; Metazoa; Chordata; Mammalia; Rodentia; Cricetidae. The record is from RefSeq and is a predicted model, not a curated record. The transcript has 3 exons.